GCUAUACAUGCAGUCGAGCGAACAGAUAAGGAGCUUGCUCCUUUGACGUUAGCGGCGGACGGGUGAGUAACACGUGGGUAACCUACCUAUAAGACUGGGAUAACUUCGGGAAACCGGAGCUAAUACCGGAUAAUAUUUCGAACCGCAUGGUUCGAUAGUGAAAGAUGGUUUUGCUAUCACUUAUAGAUGGACCCGCGCCGUAUUAGCUAGUUGGUAAGGUAACGGCUUACCAAGGCGACGAUACGUAGCCGACCUGAGAGGGUGAUCGGCCACACUGGAACUGAGACACGGUCCAGACUCCUACGGGAGGCAGCAGUAGGGAAUCUUCCGCAAUGGGCGAAAGCCUGACGGAGCAACGCCGCGUGAGUGAUGAAGGUCUUCGGAUCGUAAAACUCUGUUAUUAGGGAAGAACAUACGUGUAAGUAACUGUGCACGUCUUGACGGUACCUAAUCAGAAAGCCACGGCUAACUACGUGCCAGCAGCCGCGGUAAUACGUAGGUGGCAAGCGUUAUCCGGAAUUAUUGGGCGUAAAGCGCGCGUAGGCGGUUUUUUAAGUCUGAUGUGAAAGCCCACGGCUCAACCGUGGAGGGUCAUUGGAAACUGGAAAACUUGAGUGCAGAAGAGGAAAGUGGAAUUCCAUGUGUAGCGGUGAAAUGCGCAGAGAUAUGGAGGAACACCAGUGGCGAAGGCGACUUUCUGGUCUGCAACUGACGCUGAUGUGCGAAAGCGUGGGGAUCAAACAGGAUUAGAUACCCUGGUAGUCCACGCCGUAAACGAUGAGUGCUAAGUGUUAGGGGGUUUCCGCCCCUUAGUGCUGCAGCUAACGCAUUAAGCACUCCGCCUGGGGAGUACGACCGCAAGGUUGAAACUCAAGGAAUUGACGGGGACCCGCACAAGCGGUGGGAGCAUGUGGUUUAAUUCGAAGCAACGCGAAGAACCCUUACCAAAUCUUGACAUCCUUUGACAACUCUAGAGAUAGAGCUUUCCCCUUCGGGGGACAAAGUGACAGGUGGUGCAUGGUGUCGUCAGCUCGUGU
This 1037-nucleotide ribosomal RNA is filed under the name Staphylococcus haemolyticus. RNAcentral describes it as "bacterial SSU rRNA". It matches the Rfam family "Bacterial small subunit ribosomal RNA", at positions 48 to 1065 of the family's 1533-position model. The record is from RNAcentral. RNAcentral also lists the same sequence under 1 other name. Lineage: Bacteria; Bacillati; Bacillota; Bacilli; Caryophanales; Staphylococcaceae.